Molecule: non-coding RNA, 384 nt
Organism: Ceratotherium simum simum (southern white rhinoceros)
Lineage: Eukaryota; Metazoa; Chordata; Mammalia; Perissodactyla; Rhinocerotidae
Source: RefSeq, a predicted model, not a curated record
UAAUGAGAUGGAACAAUCUAUGCCCCAAUUCAGCAGGAAGUAGCAAGAUUGGUCAUCACCCCAAAUCCCUCAAGAAUGAGGAAUGAUCAAAGAAUAGUGGGAUUGAAACUGGUGGCCAGAUAGCCAUUAAUAAUUAUUCUUAAAAGUCAUGUAGAUAAGCAAUAUAUUAUCAGAAUCCCACCAGGUUUCUUAUAGAUAACAUCUCUGACUCGAGUUACCAUGGUAAUGGGUACUUAAGUUGUUUUUCAGGAACUGAGAGUCAACUCCUUGUCCAGUUCAGGCCAGUCGAGACCAUCAACCCAUCAACUAAGCCUGUGCAAAUGUCCCAUAGGUGACCCUUUGACAUCAGGGUCCGAAAACUCCACCCUCAGAUCAUGCUAAUGC